UUUUCCUAUGCUAAGGAGGACCUACAAGAUACCGGAGGCCUUGCCUUCGUCAAGUUAGAGAUUGUUUUUCCCUCCAGCAAGGUAUUUACGUUAAGACAACUGGAAGCUUCCUGAAGAAUGUCACACAGAUCCCACCCUGGGGAGGGAUUGUUUGUGGGAGAUCAGCUGUGCUUUGUCCUCAGCUGGCCCUGCUCCCUCAUCAUUUGCACGUACCAAAAAAAAAAAAAAAAAAAAAAAAAAAAAAAAUUGUGGGAGAGCACCUAAGGGAAAAAAGUUUACUACGGUUCCAGUUUAAUGUGUAGUGAAGGGGCGAGAAAACGGAGCAAUCAGGAGCCUUCAAAGCCCUAAUUGUUUAUUCUAAGAGUAAGGGAAAGCCUCUUAAGAGUUUUGAGCAGAAUGUUGCCGUGAUCACAGGUGCAUUUGAAAAAGGCCAUCCUGGUGCCUUUCGAAAACCGAGAUGCUGGGUUCCUUGAUGUUUGUGUUAGGAGGACUCGGAAGGUGGCGGGUCGUCGGGGGCUGACGCUGAGUUGCGUGAAAUCCGUUCAGUUCGGGGAUGAAGUACCUCAGCUGUGAAGGAGCUCACCGCACUUCCGGUUUCAAGUCAGCAAUUGUUUUGGAACCGGCUGGGAAAAAAAGGAGAAUAGGCCCGUCCGAGCCCAAGCACGGAGGCUUCCGCGUGAGAUGCGUGGAGCCAGCGCGCGCGUUUCCGUAAGCAAGAGCCUCACUGCACUUCCACGGGCCCCCGGACGUGCUCUCCGAGGCGUCCCAGGUUAGAGGCGGCAGCUCGCACCGAGGAAAGGCGCCCGUCCCGGCGUCACCCAGGCCCGGGGCUCGGGGAGCCCGCACUGCCACGAGGAGGGCCCCAGAUCCCUGCAGAGGCCCCAGAACUCGGCCGUCACGCCAGGCCCGGCGGAGCCGAAGCCGCAGGACGCUCCGGGCUCCACGCCGGGGUCCGUGCAGUGACCGGGACGCCAUUCAUGUCCCCGGAAGCUUCCCAGGGGCUCGGAGCAAGCCCCGCCCAGGCACUACGGUGGCUGCAAAGGUCCCUGACUCACGGCGUGGACGAAGGCGCACGCGCAUUGAGGACUUCUAGGCUCAGGGACGGGUUAAAGCCGGCCUCCGCAGGGACUUCAGCGCCCGCAGAUCCCUUUCCC
This 1154-nucleotide long non-coding RNA is filed under the name Canis lupus familiaris (dog). RNAcentral describes it as "lncRNA (ENSCAFG00845001652.1)". The record is from RNAcentral. Lineage: Eukaryota; Metazoa; Chordata; Mammalia; Carnivora; Canidae.